This 468-nucleotide ribosomal RNA is filed under the name uncultured bacterium. RNAcentral's name for it is "partial 16S ribosomal RNA". It matches the Rfam family "Bacterial small subunit ribosomal RNA", at positions 28 to 507 of the family's 1533-position model. The record is from RNAcentral.
AACGAACGCUGGCGGCGUGCUUAACACAUGCAAGUCGAACGGAAAGGCCCUGAUUUUGUGGGGUUAUCGAGUGGCGAAGGGGUGAGUAACACGUAAGUAACCUGCCCUUGACUUUGGGAUAACUUCAGGAAAGUGGGGCUAAUACAGGAUAGGAGCUCCUGCUGCAUGGUGGGGGUUGGAAAGUUUCGGCGGGUGGGGAUGGACGGGCGGCUUAUCGGCUUGUUGGUGGGGUAGUGGCUUACCAAGGCUUUGGCGGGUCGGCGGCCUGGGAGGGUGACCGGCCUCAUUGGUCCUGCGGUACGGCGCAGACUCGUACGGGAGGCAGUGGUGGAGAGUAUUACACAGUGGGAGGGAGCCUGUUGCAGCAACGCCGCGUUCGGGAUGCCGGCUUUCGGGUUGUGAACCGCUUUCGCCUGUGACGAAGCGUGAGUGACGGUAAUGGGUGAAGAAGCACCGGCUAACUACGUG